CCUACGGGUGGCAGCAGUGGGGAAUAUUGCACAAUGGGCGCAAGCCUGAUGCAGCCAUGCCGCGUGUGUGAAGAAGGCCUUCGGGUUGUAAAGCACUUUCAGCGGGGAGGAAGGCGGUGAGGUUAAUAACCUCAUCGAUUGACGUUACCCGCAGAAGAAGCACCGGCUAACUCCGUGCCAGCAGCCGCGGUAAUACGGAGGGUGCAAGCGUUAAUCGGAAUUACUGGGCGUAAAGCGCACGCAGGCGGUCUGUCAAGUCGGAUGUGAAAUCCCUGGGCUCAACCUGGGAACUGCAUUCGAAACUGGCAGGCUAGAGUCUUGUAGAGGGGGGUAGAAUUCCAGGUGUAGCGGUGAAAUGCGUAGAGAUCUGGAGGAAUACCGGUGGCGAAGGCGGCCCCCUGGACAAAGACUGACGCUCAGCUGCGAAAGCGUGGGGAGCAAACAGGAUUAGAUACCCGAGUAGUC
This 465-nucleotide ribosomal RNA is filed under the name uncultured Klebsiella sp. Its description in RNAcentral is "bacterial SSU rRNA". It matches the Rfam family "Bacterial small subunit ribosomal RNA", at positions 338 to 795 of the family's 1533-position model. Lineage: Bacteria; Pseudomonadati; Pseudomonadota; Gammaproteobacteria; Enterobacterales; Enterobacteriaceae. The record is from RNAcentral.